GUGAGCAACUGAAGAAUGGGACAGGGAGGUAGGAACAGCAUCUAGAUCUCCUGUUUCUAAAUCAGCAACUUUGUGACACCUUGCAUUCAAGUAAUUUAAUCAUGAACAUCAGAUGGCUACGUGCCUGCUUUAUCUCUACCUUGAGGUAGAGAUGGUUCUUGUGAAAGGUUGUUGUUCCACUAUGACAGAACAGUGUCACAAGCAUUGCAGUGGUUGUGUUAAUUGCCAGAAUGGUGUAGCAACUGGCAUGCACUGUUCUGCUUGUUAAUAUUGUUGUGGGCUGUUCUUGUUGACAUGGAGCAGUGUUCCACGUCGGCUACAUCAUGGUUCUCUCAGGCCUUUCCCUUUUUUAACCCACACAAUCUGUGUGUUACACUAAGGAAAUACUAAAUAAAUGGCAUUGGGUUUUCCCUGGCUGAAAUUAGUUGUUGACCUUAGACUGCCAUAAGCAACAUUUACAGAAAGCCCCCACUGAUUUUCCUGGUGGGCUUGAGGAAGCCUCCGAGCAGCUUUUUGUGAGUUCAUGCUUGGAGGAGGAGUGGAAGGGAUGGUGUGAAUGUUGCGCUUUCUAUGCGGGCUGAUGGUUGCUUGAAUGAGUGGACUUCCUGAUUCAGAGGUAAAGAAUGAAUGGUCUCUCCUCGUAGUUUCAUUUUUAUUAUAAAAGGUACUUUAACAGCUCAGCGGUGUCUGCUGCCCCACGCAAGCGCUGCCUAGACGAUUGUUUCCACUGCUUAAGGAAAAAGUCCAUCUGACGCACCAAUGGGAAGUCGAUGCUUUCAGUUCAUUAAAGCAAGCAUCUGUGUGUAUGUACUCAGCUGAGAAUAUUUCAGCGUGUAAGAAGGGUCUGAAAAAGAUUGAGCUUUAAAAGCUUCCAUUGUCUGAAGGCACGCACUGCUACGGCUUGGCUCCUUCCUGCUGUUGUAGCACUGGGACGAAGUGUGUAGUUGCCCUUUGGUUGUUGCAGCACCCUUGAUUUAUUGCUUGACCUUGCUUUAUUUGAAAUAUAUUAAAAAAAAAAAAAAAAAAAAAAAAAAAAGGAAGUUGCUUCCUGUGCUUGCUAUAGGACGAUGAAUUUGAAGUGUAUAAAAAGGAGUUAUCUGGCUGGUGGUUCAAUUGAAGGGGCCUGAGAACUCAUAAUAUCCUCAUUAUAUUUUUAUUCAUCUUCCUAAUUUUUGUCUGGUUUGUUUUCUUCACAGAGCUGAUUUUCCUGUCUGUAUUUGUAGGCUGCCUCCUUCAAACUGGUUAUUACUGUGAUUCCAGGGUUCUUCAGGUGAAUUCCACCGAGGCUGUGAUAGCUCCUAAGUUGUGCCCUAACUAUCUGAAGAGGAACCAUCCUAGAACAAUUCUUAGGAGGAGGACUUUUGGCUCCGGGUGCAGCCCCAGCUCUGUGAAGCUGCUGGUGAAAUUCCUGCUGACUCCAGUAUAUUUGAACAGAAUUUACAACAUCUUCAUAGGACAAUAACAUAAUUUUUGUUCAGAUUUAAAAGCAACAAAGCCUUGUGGAUUAAAAUAAGAAGCCAUGGGUUUGUGUGACACUGCAGCUUAUUGUUAGAAGAAUCUCUUCCUGUUUAAUUCCUUUUGGACUGCUCAGACUCCUCAGGUUUAUCUGAGUUUUCCCAACCCUGGAUUAAUUCCAUCCUUCUGCUUUUUCUCAAGAUUUGUAAUAAGUUGGUGGAAGGCCAAAUUCUGUUUCUGGUAUUGACUGACAAAAUAAAUUACUUACUCUACCUUUCUUAAUUUAGUGUUUAUUUCUUAAAAUAAGCAAAACCUUUCCUGUCUCUUCAGGCCUGACCACUAAGCUACAUUUUUUG
This is a long non-coding RNA of Oxyura jamaicensis (ruddy duck), 1811 nucleotides long. RefSeq lists it as uncharacterized. The transcript is spliced from 4 exons. The record is from RefSeq and is a predicted model, not a curated record. Lineage: Eukaryota; Metazoa; Chordata; Aves; Anseriformes; Anatidae.